CCGAGCAAGGGUUCCCCAGUCGGGGCCCGACCUCUUCACCGUGCUGAAUCGGACCCUGUUGCUUCAGCGGGCUGGGGGGUGAUGCCUUCGCCCUCCCCAGCUAGGCCCGCUGGAGACCCUUGUCAAAUACCGAUGUGUCAACAGAUGCCUGUCUGAGUGGGAAUGCAAUCUAGUCGCA
RNAcentral lists this unclassified non-coding RNA (178 nucleotides) under uncultured Elaphomyces. RNAcentral's name for it is "sequence contains ITS1". Lineage: Eukaryota; Fungi; Ascomycota; Eurotiomycetes; Eurotiales; Elaphomycetaceae. The record is from RNAcentral.